UACAGAGGUCCCAAGCGUUGUUCGGAUUUACUGGGAGUAAAGGGUGCGUAGGUGGCAGGGUAAGUUCGGUGUGAAAGCUUCGAGCUCAACUCGGAAAUGGCAUUGAAAACUAUCCUGCUUGAGGGUCGGAGGGGAGACUGGAAUUCUCGGUGUAGCAGUGAAAUGCGUAGAUAUCGAGAGGAACACCAGUGGCGAAGGCGGGUCUCUGGACGACUCCUGACACUGAGGCACGAAAGCUAGGGGAGCAAACAGG
This 253-nucleotide ribosomal RNA is filed under the name uncultured bacterium. Its description in RNAcentral is "partial 16S ribosomal RNA". It matches the Rfam family "Bacterial small subunit ribosomal RNA", at positions 524 to 776 of the family's 1533-position model. The record is from RNAcentral.